Culex quinquefasciatus (southern house mosquito) is the source of this 966-nucleotide long non-coding RNA. RefSeq lists it as uncharacterized. The record is from RefSeq and is a predicted model, not a curated record. The transcript is spliced from 3 exons. Lineage: Eukaryota; Metazoa; Arthropoda; Insecta; Diptera; Culicidae.
AAAUUUCGCGUCCACUCCACGGCUACCACAAGCAAGCAGGAGAGGGUAGUCCGAUUUGGCCCGGCGUGAAGGGUGGAAGGGUCGUCGUGCCGACGUGCACAAGGUGGCCGUUAAAAAUGUGUCGAUCGUUGUGAAUCGCGUCACCGAUGAAAGUGCGAAAGUGUCGGGUGCAUGGUCGGCAAGGUCGGCCCCGUCACGACGACGGCCGAACCCUUUGGCCAGCUGGAUGUCCGAGCAAAAUCCGGGCAUGAGAUAGUUCUGGUUGGAGAGUCCGGAACGUGACGGAUCGGACGCGGGAUUUGCCGCGGAACACCCCGCCCCACUGGGCCGGGACACGCGAAACACCCCGAACGGGAAGCGACGACGAAUUUGGCCAGAAGGGAGCCAGGAAUCAGCGGAAACGAUCAAAACGAGCAGCAGGACAAGCCCGAGCAGAACACAUCCACAAAUCAGCCAUCAAAAGACCCUCCCUUGAAGGGUCUUAUUGUGGGAAUUACGAAUCCGCUCUUGGCUCAUCUAAGCUCGUCCUCCGCAAGGUUCCGGAGCUGGAUUCUGCACGUCAAGGCUGGUGGGGAUCGGCCAUUCAGGACAUCGGCGCGAGAGUCAUCACAAGCGCUCGGAUUUGCAUCGCGUGGCAUUCGAGGAACGAUUCGGGCUGGCACCUCAAUCCGGUCCAACCUGCCAGAGACAGCAAAGGAUGCCGGAGGCGGCGUGCGGCCGCUUGGAACGUACGGAGAUCGUGGGAACCUGGUCGCCGGCAGAGAAAGAAUAAGAGGACAUGGAAGCAGCUGCAGAGCGGCGCACGUGGAGGAUGCUGUAGCGGGCGAGCGUGAGUAGCGAAGGAGCGAGGGGUGAGAGGAAGAAAAGCGCAAAGAAAAGCGCAAGGAAGAGCGGAAAGAAGAGCGCAACAAGAAGAAGAGAAGUUGUGGGUAGACAUUUUGGGGUUUAAUAGAUGUACUUGCUCAA